CAUGUGGGGCAAGCGUUGUUCGGAAUUACUGGGCAUAAAGGGUGCGUAGGCGGCUUGUUAAGUCAGGGGUGAAAGUUUUCGGCCCAACCGGAAAAUUGCCUUUGAUACUGGCGAGCUCGAGUGCGUGAGGGGUAACCGGAACGAGCAGUGUAGCGGUGAAAUGCGUAGAUAUUGCUCGGAAGGCCAACGGCGAAGGCAGGUUACUGGUACGCAACUGACGCUGAUGCACGAAAGCGUGGGGAGCAAACAGGAUUAGAUACCCUGGUAGUCCACGCCGUAAACGAUGAGCACUAGGUAGGUGCCGAGCUAUUCGGUGCCUGCCGCAGGUAAUUUGGUAAGUGCUCCGCCUGGGGAGUAUGGUCGCAAGGCUG
This 371-nucleotide ribosomal RNA is filed under the name uncultured organism. RNAcentral's name for it is "bacterial SSU rRNA". It matches the Rfam family "Bacterial small subunit ribosomal RNA", at positions 526 to 896 of the family's 1533-position model. The record is from RNAcentral.